RNAcentral lists this ribosomal RNA (640 nucleotides) under Bacillus cereus. RNAcentral describes it as "bacterial SSU rRNA". It matches the Rfam family "Bacterial small subunit ribosomal RNA", at positions 21 to 641 of the family's 1533-position model. Lineage: Bacteria; Bacillati; Bacillota; Bacilli; Caryophanales; Bacillaceae. The record is from RNAcentral.
GGCUCAGGAUGAACGCUGGCGGCGUGCCUAAUACAUGCAAGUCGAGCGAAUGGAUUAAGAGCUUGCUCUUAUGAAGUUAGCGGCGGACGGGUGAGUAACACGUGGGUAACCUGCCCAUAAGACUGGGAUAACUCCGGGAAACCGGGGCUAAUACCGGAUAACAUUUUGAACCGCAUGGUUCGAAAUUGAAAGGCGGCUUCGGCUGUCACUUAUGGAUGGACCCGCGUCGCAUUAGCUAGUUGGUGAGGUAACGGCUCACCAAGGCAACGAUGCGUAGCCGACCUGAGAGGGUGAUCGGCCACACUGGGACUGAGACACGGCCCAGACUCCUACGGGAGGCAGCAGUAGGGAAUCUUCCGCAAUGGACGAAAGUCUGACGGAGCAACGCCGCGUGAGUGAUGAAGGCUUUCGGGUCGUAAAACUCUGUUGUUAGGGAAGAACAAGUGCUAGUUGAAUAAGCUGGCACCUUGACGGUACCUAACCAGAAAGCCACGGCUAACUACGUGCCAGCAGCCGCGGUAAUACGUAGGUGGCAAGCGUUAUCCGGAAUUAUUGGGCGUAAAGCGCGCGCAGGUGGUUUCUUAAGUCUGAUGUGAAAGCCCACGGCUCAACCGUGGAGGGUCAUUGGAAACUGGGAGAC